GACGAACGCUGGCGGCGUGCUUAACACAUGCAAGUCGAACGGAAAGGCCCUGCUUUUGUGGGGUGCUCGAGUGGCGAACGGGUGAGUAACACGUGAGUAACCUGCCCUGGACUUUGGGAUAACUUCAGGAAACUGGUGCUAAUACCGGAUAGGAGCGCCUGCUGCAUGGUGGGGGUUGGAAAGUUUCGGCGGUUGGGGAUGGACUCGCGGCUUAUCAGCUUGUGGGUGGGGUAGUGGCUUACCAAGGCUUUGACGGGUAGCCGGCCUGAGAGGGUGACCAGGCACAUUGGGACUGAGAUACGGACCAGACUCCUACGGGAGGCAGCAGUGGGGAAUAUUGCACAAUGGGCGGAAGCCUGAUGCAGCAGCGCCGCGUGCGGGAUGACGGCCUUCGGGUUGUAAACCGCUUUCGCCUGUGACGAAGCGUGAGUGACGGUAAUGGGUAAAGAAGCACCGGCUAACUACGUG
RNAcentral lists this ribosomal RNA (468 nucleotides) under uncultured bacterium. RNAcentral's name for it is "partial 16S ribosomal RNA". It matches the Rfam family "Bacterial small subunit ribosomal RNA", at positions 28 to 507 of the family's 1533-position model. The record is from RNAcentral.